CCCCUAGUAACGGCGAGUGAAGAGGGAAGAGCCCAAGAUUGAAAGCUGGCGUCUUCGACGUCCGCAUUGUAAUCUCAAGAAGUGUUUUCCGCUUCGGACCAUGCCUAAGUCCCUUGGAAAAGGGCAUCAUAGAGGGUGAUAAUCCCGUACAUGGCAUGGAGCGCCCGAGGCUUUGUGAUACGCUUUCUAAGAGUCGAGUUGUUUGGGAAUGCAGCUCAAAAUGGGUGGUAAAUGCCAUCUAAGGCUAAAUAUUGGGGAGAGACCGAUAGCGAACAAGUACAGUGAUGGAAAGAUGAAAAGAACUUUGAAAAGAGAGUUAAACAGUACGUGAAAUUGCCAAAAGGGAAGGGUAGGAGGUCAGAGAUGCGUCUUGGGAUUCAGCCUUGCUUUUGCUUGGUGUUUUUCCCAAGUUGCAGGCCAACGUCGGUUUUGGGCACUGGAGAAGGGUGGAAGGAACGUGGCACCUCUCGGGGUGUGUUAUAGCCUUCCACUGGAUACAGCGACCGAGACCGAGGACAGCAGCGUACUCGCAAGAGCGGGCCUUCGGGCACCUUUACGCUUAGGGCGUUGGCAUAAUGGCCCUCUACCACCCGUCUUGAAACACGGGACCA
RNAcentral lists this ribosomal RNA (611 nucleotides) under Pseudozyma sp. RNAcentral's name for it is "partial large subunit ribosomal RNA". It matches the Rfam family "Eukaryotic large subunit ribosomal RNA", at positions 77 to 664 of the family's 3401-position model. The record is from RNAcentral. Lineage: Eukaryota; Fungi; Basidiomycota; Ustilaginomycetes; Ustilaginales; Ustilaginaceae.